GUGCCAUAGAGCUAUCAUUACAAUAGACUGAUCAGGAGAAGCCAUUGUUGGUUUGAAGAAGAAAAAAGAAGAUGAAUUGUUAGCGCAACAAUCCUAACAUCCCGAUUUUAUUAAUAGGUCAUUUAUUAAUUUAUUUGUGUUUAUUUAAUUAUGUGGCGUAUAACUUUCGUAAGUUAGUAUUUAUGAGUUUUAACCGUUUUUAAUUAAUUAGUGGGUUUAUGUGAAUUGGGCCUAGAGGGUGAUGAGAUGAGUAGAAUGAGGGGGUGUUAAUUGGAAAACAAACCCUUUGUAAUAAGCAAACUGUAUCUAUUAAAAAAAAAACAAAGAAAAGACUAGAAAAGAAAAGAAGAACAUGAGAUUGAAAGAAAAAUCAAGAGAGGAAGAACAAAAGCAUGGGAUUGAAGAAGAAGACUAAAGAAUCCAUCAUAGCUAAGGUUGUAUGUUUGUUGGUGUUCGAGUUGUUGGUGAAAGCUCUGCUCUGGUUGUGACACGGGGAAGGGUUUAUAGAGUAUUUAUUUGUUGUUGUUUUAUUUAAAUUAAAGGUGUAUCUUUUAUAAAAGGAUUUUGUGUAAAUGAUGAUUACUAAUUAAUUUUAUUAGUAGAGUUUUUAGUGAAGAAUGUAACACCUUGAACCAAUAUUUUAUAAUUCAUUUUUACUUUGA
Trifolium pratense (red clover) is the source of this 662-nucleotide long non-coding RNA. RefSeq lists it as uncharacterized. The record is from RefSeq and is a predicted model, not a curated record. Lineage: Eukaryota; Viridiplantae; Streptophyta; Magnoliopsida; Fabales; Fabaceae. The transcript is spliced from 2 exons.